Molecule: ribosomal RNA, 253 nt
Filed under: uncultured bacterium
Lineage: Bacteria
Description: partial 16S ribosomal RNA
Rfam family: Bacterial small subunit ribosomal RNA
Source: RNAcentral
GACGAAGGGGGCAAGCGUUGUUCGGAAUUACUGGGCGUAAAGGGCGCGUAGGCGGUUCUUUAAGUCAGGCGUGAAAGCCCUGGGCUCAACCUGGGAGUGGCGCUUGAUACUGGAGGACUAGAGAGUGGGAGAGGUUAGUGGAAUUCCCAGUGUAGAGGUGAAAUUCGUAGAUAUUGGGAAGAACACCGGUGGCGAAGGCGGCCAACUGGACCAUUUCUGACGCUGAGGCGCGAAAGCGUGGGGAGCAAACAGG